RNAcentral lists this ribosomal RNA (513 nucleotides) under uncultured bacterium. RNAcentral describes it as "partial 16S ribosomal RNA". It matches the Rfam family "Bacterial small subunit ribosomal RNA", at positions 28 to 523 of the family's 1533-position model. The record is from RNAcentral.
GAUGAACGCUGGCGGCGUGCCUAAUACAUGCAAGUCGAGCGAACAGACGAGGAGCUUGCUCCUCUGACGUUAGCGGCGGACGGGUGAGUAACACGUGGAUAACCUACCUAUAAGACUGGGAUAACUUCGGGAAACCGGAGCUAAUACCGGAUAAUAUAUUGAACCGCAUGGUUCAAUAGUGAAAGACGGUUUUGCUGUCACUUAUAGAUGGAUCCGCGCCGCAUUAGCUAGUUGGUAAGGUAACGGCUUACCAAGGCAACGAUGCGUAGCCGACCUGAGAGGGUGUACGGCCACACUGUAACUGAGACACGGUCCAGAGUCCUACGGGAGGCACGAGUAGGGAAUCUUCCGCAAUGGGCGAAAGCCUGACGGAGCAACGCUGCGUGAGUAAUGAAGGUCUUCGUAUCGUAAAACUCUGUUAUUAGGGAAGAACAAAUGUGUAAGUAACUAUGAACGUCUUGACGGUACCUAAUCAGAGAGCCACGGCUAACUACGUGCCAGCCGCCGCCGUAA